ACGAACGCUGGCGGCGUGCCUAAUACAUGCAAGUAGAACGCUGAAGAGAGGAGCUUGCUCUUCUUGGAUGAGUUGCGAACGGGUGAGUAACGCGUAGGUAACCUGCCUGGUAGCGGGGGAUAACUAUUGGAAACGAUAGCUAAUACCGCAUAAAAUUGAUGAUUGCAUGAUAAUUAAUUGAAAGAUGCAACUGCAUCACUACCAGAUGGACCUGCGCUGUAUUAGCUAGUUGGUGAGGUAACGGCUCACCAAGGCGACGAUACAUAGCCGACCUGAGAGGGUGAUCGGCCACACUGGGACUGAGACACGGCCCAGACUCCUACGGGAGGCAGCAGUAGGGAAUCUUCGGCAAUGGGGGGAACCCUGACCGAGCAACGCCGCGUGAGUGAAGAAGGUUUUCGGAUCGUAAAGCUCUGUUGUAAGAGAAGAACGGGUGUGAGAGUGGAAAGUUCACACUGUGACGGUAUCUUACCAGAAAGGGACGGCUAACUACGUG
RNAcentral lists this ribosomal RNA (496 nucleotides) under uncultured bacterium. Its description in RNAcentral is "partial 16S ribosomal RNA". It matches the Rfam family "Bacterial small subunit ribosomal RNA", at positions 29 to 507 of the family's 1533-position model. The record is from RNAcentral.